UCAUCCCAAAAGUGUUUGGUAAUUGUCACUCCUGUAUUGCACAUGCUAACUCUGGAUAAUAUACCUUUUUUAUUGCAACAGGCCAUCAGUCAUUCUUUAAGGACAGUCAUGAAGUUUGUUCUCUGUGUUCUCAAGGGAAAUCUAAAAUUUUCAUACAGACUUGCUCAUUGUUAUAUUUACUUUGGCUAGAGCCCCGCACACCCGUAACCAGAAGCAACCUUUUGUGUGUGUCAACACCGUUCUCCAGCGUUUUAGAAGUAUUAACCCCAUUUAACUCUCACAAGCUCAUUGGAUAAGUACUAUAAUUACACCUCGGAAACUCAUUCACGGAGAGCAACUUGUCCAAUGUGAUGGCGCUAGGAAGCGGCAAGGCUGAUUGGCGAGUCAAGGGAAAGGGCUGCGGGAAGCGGUAAUGCUGAGUGUGGAGUCAAAGAGAGGGCUGGGGGUGCUCAGUACCUAGAAAAAUGUCAAUCCCGGAUGAGCGACCCUAGCCCACCUCCAAGCUGGGACUCGCGAUCCGCCCCCAAACGCCAGGGCUCUGCCCAGCCAGAGGGAAAUGCAAAUGCCUCUACCCCUUGUCCUCCAUCCACCAUCACUUUUCGCCCUUAACACAUAGGGCUAGGACACCACUGGUCCCUCGCCUAGGCUAAGGAGGCCUAGAGUCGCUGCCAGAACUCAAGUCUCACCACCAUCUGGGGAAUAAUGGCCGCAACCUCCCCUGGAGCGGAAGUUCCUGUGACUCACUUCCCAGAACCCAGAACCACAUGUGAGACUCACCACCCGCACUGCUGAAGAGGAAGUGUUGUCCACGGCCCGGAACUUCUGGACUACACUUCCCAGAAUGCCAAAGCGGUCUAGGGCUACAGCCCCACUUGCCUGGAGUGGAAGUGCUUCCGACAACACCUCCCAGAAUCCUCUGCGGGAUCAUGCUUCCUCCCUACCCUAUUUCUUUUGGUUAAUUAAAUAUUACCUGAGUCACUUCUCCAGCGCUA
Herpailurus yagouaroundi (jaguarundi) is the source of this 992-nucleotide long non-coding RNA. RefSeq lists it as uncharacterized. The record is from RefSeq and is a predicted model, not a curated record. Lineage: Eukaryota; Metazoa; Chordata; Mammalia; Carnivora; Felidae. The transcript has 2 exons.